RNAcentral lists this antisense RNA (75 nucleotides) under Actinokineospora bangkokensis. RNAcentral's name for it is "ASpks TB sRNA". It matches the Rfam family "ASpks TB sRNA". Lineage: Bacteria; Bacillati; Actinomycetota; Actinomycetes; Pseudonocardiales; Pseudonocardiaceae. The record is from Rfam by way of RNAcentral.
CUUGAGCGACCCCAGCAGCAGCGGCUCGUCCGCGGGCCGGUCCUGCCCGUAGGUGGCCAGCAGGGCCUGGGCCUC